Non-coding RNA from Ictidomys tridecemlineatus (thirteen-lined ground squirrel), 2715 nucleotides. NCBI's taxonomy places the organism in Eukaryota, Metazoa, Chordata, Mammalia, Rodentia, Sciuridae. The record is from RefSeq and is a predicted model, not a curated record.
GAUCUGCGAGGAAAGAACAGAAAGAAAAAGCACUUCAUUUGUGAUGGCAGAGAAGGCAUGUGGGAGGCCAUGAUGCAAUUGGAAAACAAGCAGUGCUCUCCCACAACAUGAAACGAACUACACCUCUGAAUGAGCGCUUAGGACGUAAAGCAACAAUUCCAAAGCUAUGCUGUUCUGCAGUUUUCCUCUUUGAUAUCUCUGAUUCCCUACAUUCAUUUCUUAUCCCAUCUGGUGACUUGGAGGGCUCUGAUGAUUUGGAAGUAUGCGAGAUCUCCAAUCGAUUCUGUGUGCUCCCUUGCUUAUGUGUUUUACUUCUAGAGCCUUCUGAAAAUGACGCCUUAUCCACUGAAGAGAUGUACUGCUUGUCCUGCAAUUUAGCUGAUGGAGGCUCAUUUCCCUUGCUCUCUGUCUCUUCAGAGAAGGCAGGGCUGCUGACCCAGGGUCUUAUUGUGAAGUUCUUCAGAUGGAAACGCUUCAGGAGCAAUGGAAGAAGAACCCAUUUUGAUGGGCUCAGGAGUAUUGGAUAGAGGCUUCUGCUGAGAGAUGAGGUUUUCUCCUAGGGGUUUAGCAGGAGCAGAGGGUUCAUCUUUGUGUGGGGAGAGUGCUUCUUCAGAUACUGAAGGUGACUUUCUUUGUUGAUGCACCAUUCUUUCACUCAUGGAAGAAUUAGGAAUCGGAGAUGUUUCUGCAGGAAGUGGCAAACUGGAUACAAAAGUGGUCUCAGACGUGAGAAGCAUGGAAGACACUGAAGAAGUUUCCGAUGUCAAAGGUAAAUCAGACAUCGGUGAUGCUUCUGAUGUUAAAACUACAUUGGAUACUGGCGAUGCUUCAGAUGGCAAUGUGCUGGACACCUCAGAACAAAAUGUCGUUUCAAGGGAGGCUGGAGUACAUGAUUCUUCAGAUGUGGAUUGGGUUUCUCCUCCUGGGGACGGCAGGCUGGUGCAGGCUCCCUCUGGGCUCUCAGAGGAGAAAGAAGUUUCAGAGAUGCAAGCAUUUUCUGAAAGCUGUUCAUCGGGAUCACUCUGUAGCUCCAUAUCCACAGCAAUUCCUUCAUGUGGAAAUUGGCCUUCUAAAGACGAUGACCCUGUUUUUAUUUUUGAAGUGUUGGUCUCUAUUGCGAUUUCUGGUUCCUUAAGUUCUGCGUCACUGACAUGAGUCACAGAUGAAGUGGAAGGAACAAGAGAAUCACAGACUUCUAGUUGAUCAAUAACAACUGACAUUUCUUCCUGCAGAGGUUCUGAUUUCUCUUCUAUCUUAACUUCAAUAUGAGGCAAAGUUUCUAAAACAUCAUUCAUCACAACACAGGAUUCUAAGUUGCCAUCAUGGGGUGCUGCUAUUAGGGGCUCUUUAUGAGAGGUGGUUGGACUCUCACACUCCUCUGAAAAUUCAUGUAUUGUCUUGUGAUUUUCAUCGUGGCAGUCACAGAUACUAGUCUCUACUUCUUCUGCAAUUUCCUCCUGAAUCACAGCUUCCUCGGGGAUCAAAAUAUCCUCUGAUUCCAAAUCUGCCAUUACGUCUUUAGCUGGAACUUCGACCAUUGGACAUACUGUAGCACAGAAAUCAGGUUGUGAAGAAGCAGAACUUUGCAUGCUUUGGGGCUGUUGUUCUUCCAAGGGGGUCUGCGCAGAAGAACCCUGAAGACCAGUGGUCCCACGUGAAGAACUAGCUUCAGCUCCAUUAUUAUUUGGUCCAGAAGUAAGCUUCAUAGACUCCUCUCUUGACAUGCCCAACCUGAACAAAAAUUAGAUAUAUUAAAUUACUGCUCAACCACAUAACAUGAAAGAUACAACUUGGAUCUCUCUCAUAGUAUUUACUUCUAUUCGAUAGAAGUAAAUGAAUUGAAUUAAUCUUAUAUCCCACUUAGUGAAAUAAUUCAUUUAUGUAAAAUAGUUUAUAAUGAUAUAGUUUCUCCACUACCUUUAUAACCAUAACUAAAACAAACUCUACUUCUGGGUAAGAAAGAGAUUUUUAUUGUGUAAGCAAGAAAAUACAGACCUUAGCAAGUAUUCAUAAAGCCAAUAAUAAAAUCCCAAAUAAAAAAGAUCAGAAAAUAUGGGCAGAAAAGCAAAGGAAUGUGUAAGAUAUAACUUUUUUGAAGUCAGAUGGUAGAAAGAUGCCCUAAUAACAGAAAAUUAUGUGGAUUUCAGAUUAUGCGACACAGUUAAUUAAGAUCCAUGGAAAAUGAAGAAAAUACACAAAAUUCUGAAAUUGAAAUGACACCCAAAGAUUAGUUCUCUUAAAGUAAUCUAAGAAAUGUUACUCAAUCACCAUAUUUCAGUAUCUAAUUUGAAAUAUGGAAACUCUUCUAAAUAAGUUAUUCUAACAGAUUCCAUUUGUGUGAAGCAAAACUUUUAAAUGCAUUCAUGUAGAAGGCCUUACUAUAAAGCUAUUCCAUACGAGGUAGUAAAGAAAAUCAAUAAAUAAUCCAGCCUAAUAUUCAGCAGGCAAAGCUAUUCAGAAUUACAAUUAUGUAUACUCUAAGACACUGGUUUUUUUCAUAUUAAAUUAUAACAUCAGCAUCAGAAGAUAGAGAUACAUGCUAUUCUAAAUGAAGUUUAAACAGGGAAUAAGCAAUGACAAAAAUAAGUAUAAGAGAGACUACUAACAAAGAAACACAGUGAAAAAAUAUAGCUAUAGUAGUAUUGAUGUAAGAAAUGUCAGUGAAAUCCAUUUUAGUCUUUUAUUUAAAUAAAAUUCCCAAACUGUAAAAUUGAA